This 1746-nucleotide ribosomal RNA is filed under the name metagenome. RNAcentral's name for it is "bacterial LSU rRNA". It matches the Rfam family "Bacterial large subunit ribosomal RNA", at positions 1140 to 2925 of the family's 2925-position model. The record is from RNAcentral.
GCUCACUAGUCGAGAGGACUUGCGCCGAAAAUACACGGGGCUAAAACACACCACCGAAGCUAUGGAACGGAAACGUUGGUAGGGGAGCAUUGUGUGAGGACGAAGCGUAAACGAAAGUGAGCGUGGACGAAACAGAAGAGAGAAUGCCGGAAUGAGUAGCGAGAUAGAAGUGAGAAUCUUCUAGGCCGAAAAUCUAAGGGAUCCAGAGUAAAGCUGAUCUGCUCUGGGGAAGUCGGGGCCUAAGGCGAGGCUGAGAAGCGUAGUCGAUGGAUAACAGGUUGAUAUUCCUGUACCGUAAGUAAACAGAACUGUGGGGACACAGGAGGAUAGUAAGAGCCGGGAAUGGAAAGACCGGUAGAAGCACAAAGGUACCUGGAUAGGCAAAUCCGUUCGGGUGAACUGAAGUGUGAUCUGGACUGAAAUAAAGUAAGGAAGCUUAUGAAUCCAAACUGUCAAGAAAAGCCGCUAUUGUUUUACUUACGCCCGUACCGCAAACCGACACAGGUAGAUGAGGAGAGAAUCCACAGGCCGGCGGGAGAAGCGUUGUUAAGGAACUAGGCAAAAUGACCCCGUAACUUCGGGAGAAGGGGUGCCUCGAAAGAGGCCGCAGAGAAGAGGCCCAAGCGACUGUUUAACAAAAACACAGGUUUCUGCGAAACCGCAAGGUGAAGUAUAGGAGCUGACGCCUGCCCGGUGCUGGAAGGUUAAGGGGAGGACUUAGAGCAAUCGAAGGUUCGAACUUAAGCCCCAGUAAACGGCGGCCGUAACGAUAACGGUCCUAAGGUAGCGAAAUUCCUUGUCGGGUAAGUUCCGACCCGCACGAAAGGCGUAACGAUUUGGGCACUGUCUCGACAACGCGCCCGGUGAAAUUGAAGUGCCAGUGAAGAUACUGGCGCCCCGCGACAGGACGGAAAGACCCCAUGGAGCUUUACUCUAGCUUGAUAUUGGGAUUCGGUGUCACAUGUACAGGAUAGGUGGGAGGCAGAGAAAGUAGUACGCCAGUAUUACCGGAGCCGACGUUGGGAUACCACCCUUGUGAUAUUGGAUUUCUAACCAAAAGCCGUGAACCGGCUUUGGGACACUGUCAGGUGGGGAGUUUGACUGGGGCGGUCGCCUCCGAAAGGGUAUCGGAGGCGCUCAAAGGUUCCCUCAGGAUGGUUGGAAACCAUCCAAAGAGUGCAAAGGCAGAAGGGAGCUUGACUGUGACACCGACGGGUGAAACAGGUAGGAAACUAGGACUUAGUGAUCCGGUGGUAUAAAGUGGGAUUGCCAUCGCUCAACGGAUAAAAGCUACCCUGGGGAUAACAGGCUGAUCUCCCCCAAGAGUUCACAUCGACGGGGAGGUUUGGCACCUCGAUGUCGGCUCAUCGCAUCCUGGGGCUGAAGGAGGUCCCAAGGGUUGGGCUGUUCGCCCAUUAAAGCGGUACGCGAGCUGGGUUCAGAACGUCGUGAGACAGUUCGGUCCCUAUCCGUCGUGGGCGUAGGAUAUUUGAGAGGAGCUGUUCUUAGUACGAGAGGACCGGAAUGGACAGACCGCUGGUGCAUCUGUUAGGGACCAAACCUAUAGCAGAGUAGCCAAGUCUGGCAGGGAUAAACGCUGAAGGCAUCUAAGCGUGAAGCCUCCCUCAAGAAGAGAUAUCCCAUCCGCAAGGAGUAAGACCCCUCGAAGACGACGAGGAGAUAGGCCGGAGGUGGAAGCACAGAGAUGUGCGCAGCUGACCGGUACUAAUAGGUCGAGGGCUUGAC